This 480-nucleotide ribosomal RNA is filed under the name uncultured Methanosaeta sp. RNAcentral's name for it is "bacterial SSU rRNA". It matches the Rfam family "Archaeal small subunit ribosomal RNA", at positions 856 to 1338 of the family's 1478-position model. The record is from RNAcentral. Lineage: Archaea; Methanobacteriati; Methanobacteriota; Methanomicrobia; Methanotrichales; Methanotrichaceae.
UUAAAGGAAUUGACGGGGAGCACCACAACGGGUGGAGCUUGCGCUUAAUUGGAUUCAACGCCGGAAAUCUUACCGGGACCGACAGCAAUAUGAAGGCCAGGCUGAAGACUUUGCCGGAUUAGCUGAGAGGUGGUGCAUGGCCGUCGUCAGUUCGUACUGUGAAGCAUCCUGUUAAGUCAGGCAACGAGCGAGACCCACGCCCACAGUUGCCAGCGUACUCUCUGGAGUGACGGGUACACUGUGGGACCGCCGCUGCUAAAGCGGAGGAAGGAAUGGGCAACGGUAGGUCAGUAUGCCCCGAAUAUCCCGGGCUACACGCGAGCUACAAUGGUUGGUACAAUGGGUAUCUACCCCGAAAGGGGACGGGAAUCUCCUAAAACCAAUCUUAGUUCGGAUUGAGGGCUGCAACUCGCCCUCAUGAAGCUGGAAUCCGUAGUAAUCGCGUUUCAACAGAACGCGGUGAAUACGUCCCUGCUCCUU